GUAGGGAGCAAGCGUUAUCCGGAUUUAUUGGGUGUAAAAGGGUGCGUAGGCGGUUUAUUAGGUCUAUGGUUUAAUUCCGAAACUUAACUUCGGUUCGCCAUAGAAACCGAUUUACUUGAGUAUGGUAGAGGCAAGUGGAAUUUCUAGUGUAGCGGUAAAAUGCGUAGAUAUUAGAAAGGACACCAGUGGCGAAGGCGACUUGCUGGGCCAUCACUGACGCUGAGGCACGAAAGUGUGGGGAGCAAAUAGGAUUAGAUACCCUAGUAGUCCACGCCGUANNCGUUGNAUACUANGUGUCGG
This 300-nucleotide ribosomal RNA is filed under the name uncultured bacterium. RNAcentral's name for it is "bacterial SSU rRNA". It matches the Rfam family "Bacterial small subunit ribosomal RNA", at positions 527 to 826 of the family's 1533-position model. The record is from RNAcentral.